GUUGAACGCUGGCGGCGUGCCUAAUACAUGCAAGUCGAGCGGACGGACGAGAAUCGCUCCUCGCUUCUGUUAGGGGCGGGUGGGUGAGGAAUACGUGGAUAACCGGUCUUUAAGGAUGGGGUAAGUUCAGGGGACCUAAGACCAUAUCCGUUAAGAGUUUGAAACGGAUGGGUCUAAAGUGCAAAACCGUCCUGCUGUCACUUGUUCGUAGAUCCGCGCUGCAUUAGCUAGUUGGUAAGGUAACGGCUUACCAAGGCAACGAUGCAUAGCCGACCUGAGAGGGUGAUCGGCCACACUGGAACUGAGACACGGUCCAGACUCCUACGGGAGGCAGCAGUAGGGAAUCUUCCGCAAUGGGCGAAAGCCUGACGGAGCAACGCCGCGUGAGUGAUGAAGGUCUUCGGAUCGUAAAACUCUGUUAUUAGGGAAGAACAUAUGUGUAAGUAACUGUGCACAUCUUGACGGUACCUAAUCAGAAAGCCACGGCUAACUACGUG
RNAcentral lists this ribosomal RNA (497 nucleotides) under uncultured bacterium. Its description in RNAcentral is "partial 16S ribosomal RNA". It matches the Rfam family "Bacterial small subunit ribosomal RNA", at positions 28 to 507 of the family's 1533-position model. The record is from RNAcentral.